UACGUAGGUGGCAAGCGUUGUCCGGAUUUAUUGGGUGUAAAGCGCGCGCAGGCGGUUCUUUAAGUCUGAUGUGAAAUCUUGCGGCUUAACCGCAAGCGGUCAUUGGAAACUGGGGAACUUGAGUACAGAAGAGGAAAGUGGAAUUCCACGUGUAGCGGUGAAAUGCGUAGAGAUGUGGAGGAACACCAGUGGCGAAGGCGACUUUCUGGUCUGUAACUGACGCUGAGGCGCGAAAGCGUGGGGAGCAAACAGG
This 253-nucleotide ribosomal RNA is filed under the name uncultured bacterium. Its description in RNAcentral is "partial 16S ribosomal RNA". It matches the Rfam family "Bacterial small subunit ribosomal RNA", at positions 524 to 776 of the family's 1533-position model. The record is from RNAcentral.